CAGUCGCCGCGGUAAUACGAAGGGGGCUAGCGUUGCUCGGAAUUACUGGGCGUAAAGCGCACGCAGGCGGCUCGAUAAAUUAGAAGUGAAAGCCUUGGGCUUAACCUGAGAAUUGCUUUUAAGACCGUCGAGCUAGAAUCCAGAAGAGGGUAGUGGAAUUCCGAGUGUAGAGGUGAAAUUCGUAGAUAUUCGGAAGAACACCAGUGGCGAAGGCGACUACCUGGUCUGGCAUUGACGCUCAUGUGCGAAAGCGUGGGGAGCAAACAGGAUUAGAUACCCCAGUAGUCCCUGUCUCUUAUAC
RNAcentral lists this ribosomal RNA (301 nucleotides) under uncultured bacterium. RNAcentral's name for it is "partial 16S ribosomal RNA". It matches the Rfam family "Bacterial small subunit ribosomal RNA", at positions 509 to 807 of the family's 1533-position model. The record is from RNAcentral.